RNAcentral lists this ribosomal RNA (492 nucleotides) under uncultured bacterium. Its description in RNAcentral is "partial 16S ribosomal RNA". It matches the Rfam family "Bacterial small subunit ribosomal RNA", at positions 29 to 507 of the family's 1533-position model. The record is from RNAcentral.
AGUGAACGCUGGCGGUAGGCCUAACACAUGCAAGUCGAACGGCAGCACAGUAAGAGCUUGCUCUUACGGGUGGCGAGUGGCGGACGAGUGAGGAAUACAUCGGAAUCUACUUUUUCGUGGGGGAUAACGUAGGGAAACUUACGCUAAUACCGCAUACGACCUACGGGUGAAAGCAGGGGAUCUUCGGACCUUGCGCAAUUGAAUGAGCCGAUGUCGGAUUAGCUAGUUGGCGGGGUAAAGGCCCACCAAGGCGACGAUCCGUAGCUGGUCUGAGAGGAUGAUCAGCCACACUGGAACUGAGACACGGUCCAGACUCCUACGGGAGGCAGCAGUGGGGAAUAUUCGACAAUGGGCGCAAGCCUGAUCCAGCCAUACCGCGUGAGUGAAGAAGGCCUUCGGGUUGUAAAGCCCUUUUGUUGGGAAAGAAAAGCAGCAGGUUAAUACCCCGCUGUUCUGACGGUACCCAAAGAAUAAGCACCGGCUAACUUCGUG